CACGUAGGGGGCAAGCGUUGUCCGGAUUUAUUGGGCGUAAAGAGCUCGUAGGUGGUUCGGUAAGUCGGGUGUUAAACCCCCAGGCUCAACCUGGGGACGCCACUCGAUACUGCUGUGACUUGAGUCCGGUAGGGGAGCGUGGAAUUCCUGGUGUAGCGGUGAAAUGCGUAGAGAUGUGGAGGAACACCGAUGGCGAAGGCAGCCUUCUGGGCCAACACUGACGCUCAUGCACGAAAGCGUGGGGAGCAAACAGG
Molecule: ribosomal RNA, 254 nt
Filed under: uncultured bacterium
Lineage: Bacteria
Description: partial 16S ribosomal RNA
Rfam family: Bacterial small subunit ribosomal RNA
Source: RNAcentral